Molecule: unclassified non-coding RNA, 329 nt
Filed under: soil metagenome
Description: partial contains 5.8S ribosomal RNA, internal transcribed spacer 2, and large subunit ribosomal RNA
Rfam family: 5.8S ribosomal RNA (bases 1-120)
Source: RNAcentral
GAUGAAGAACGUAGCGAAAUGCGAUAAGUAAUGUGAAUUGCAGAAUUCAGUGAAUCAUCGAAUCUUUGAACGCACAUUGCGCCCCUUGGUAUUCCGAGGGGCAUGCCUGUUCGAGCGUCAUUAUAACCCCUCAAGCUCAGCUUGGUGUUGGGGCCGGCUGCACUGGCAGCCCUUAAAAUCAGUGGCGGCGCCAUCUGGCUCUAAGCGUAGUAAUUCUUCUCGCUAUGGAGUCCUGGUGGAUGCUUGCCAUCAACCCCCAAUUUUUCUAUGGUUGACCUCGGAUCAGGUAGGGAUACCCGCUGAACUUAAGCAUAUCAAUAAGCGGAGGA